Molecule: ribosomal RNA, 551 nt
Filed under: uncultured bacterium
Lineage: Bacteria
Description: bacterial SSU rRNA
Rfam family: Bacterial small subunit ribosomal RNA
Source: RNAcentral
UUUGAUCCUGGCUCAGGAUGAACGCUGGCGGCGUGCUUAACACAUGCAAGUCGAAGGUGAAACAGGAGCUUGCUCCUGCGGAUCAGUGGCGAACGGGUGAGUAACACGUGAGUAACCUGCCCUUGACUCUGGGAUAAGCGUUGGAAACGACGUCUAAUACCGGAUACGAGCUUCAGUCGCAUGGCUAGGAGCUGGAAAGAACUUCGGUCAAGGAUGGACUCGCGGCCUAUCAGCUAGUUGGUGAGGUAACGGCCCACCAAGGCGACGACGGGUAGCCGGCCUGAGAGGGUGACCGGCCACACUGGGACUGAGACACGGCCCAGACUCCUACGGGAGGCAGCAGUGGGGAAUAUUGCACAAUGGGCGCAAGCCUGAUGCAGCAACGCCGCGUGAGGGACGACGGCCUUCGGGUUGUAAACCUCUUUUAUUAGGGAAGAAGCGAAAGUGACGGUACCUGCAUAAAAAGCGCCGGCUUAAUUACGUGCCAGCAGCCGCGGAAAAACGUAGGGGGCCGAGCUUAUCCGGAAUUAUUGGGCCGUAAAAACCUCGUA